GUCCGGGGUUGAACAGCUAGGAGUCUGGUCAGAGACCGAGGGGUGGGAAUAUGCCCAGACCCCCGCCUCAGAGGCCCAACGGCCACCUGCCGGGGUGACCUCGGGAGAGAACACCUGCCAGCCUGGUAGGCCUCAAUGAACACCACCCUCAAUACACAGGGAAGACUAAGGCCCACACCUGAGAAGGGGGGAAAUUUCUUCCUAGGGCCUGCGGAGAACCCAGCUGGCAGACCAAAGGACGACGUUUGAAUAUGCGUGUUGUCGUGUUCCUAUGGCACAAGUAGAUAUUCAAUACCUUAUAAAGCUGAAUGGGUUUUAUUUCCUAUUUCCAGAAAUACAAGGAAUAGGACAGAAGAUGCUUUCAAAAGACAUGGUGUAGAAUGGAUUGCGUAAGUCUUGUGGAAAGAACUAGAAGAUGUCUAUUUGGCACAUCUGAAGCAGUUGGAGUUUUGCACUGCUACUGCAAAAUAAAUGAUUCAUAUUAAGCCUCUGACUGUACAGUUCAGUAGUCAGCGAAGGAAAACAGGUGUCAUGAACACAGGCUGAAGCAGAAGUUUAUAUUUCUGUUAUAAAAAUACAAAAAUUCUGUUGUGAAUAUUUAGAAGUCUUUGUGUGAAAACUUGAUUCUAUAUUUCUGAAAAGCACUGGUAUAUUUAUUUUGUGUUCUGAAAAGGACCAGUUUGAGAUGACCUUGUGUAUUGUUCCAUUUAAUCCUCUGCAGAAGCAAAACUAUAACCCAAACUGCAGUGUUGAAGGACACACACACAUCUUAAAGGGAGAUGACUACCCUGCUUAUCUGAGUUUAGUUUAUCCAAACUCAGUGUACUUUUUGCUAUAACAGACUAAUUGGACUCUGAACAAUAAUUAUUUUCUUUAUGGGAUAUUGUGGACUGUACCACUGUUUAACUAUCCUGACAUUUUGUUGCAUUGCUAGGCUUGGGUAGAUUUAUGUAUAGACCAGUCCCAUAGACUGUUAAUCUGUGCAGUUGGCACCUUUGCACACUACGCAGACUGGCUGUAUCAGGAAGCCAAAUCCACUCUAAUGUUCUAAUUAUAUAGAUAUACAUAUAAAAUGCUUAGUAAAAAAUCAGUACCUUUAACUUCAAUGGUACUGUUCACAUGAGUAAAGUAAAGUACAUGUUGAAAAUUAACGGCUAGCAUAAGUAAGAUCUUCUUAAAUUCCCUUCCCUAUACCAUGUGAUAAUAUAAAUGUAAUAUUUUUCUUAAAUAAAGAAGCUUUGCUACCUUGCCAACAGAUAUCGGGCAGAUUUUUCACAGGGUUUCACAAAACACACUUCAAUAAUAUUAAAAAUACCUUCUGAUUUUCAGUAUAUUUCAAUGGUAGCUUGCUUGCUUAAGCACUACAAUCUUUAUAGAGGAGACUGCUUCCAUUAUUAGUUUCAGAGCACAUACAAUCUUUGCUUGUUACUUAGUUUUAUUUCAAGGACUUGGUUAAAAGGGGCUCUUUAUCAAGGGAGUAGUGUUCCAAUCUAACUCCCGUUAUGGUUAGUGGAAGUAUUUCUAUUUCCCUUCUUAGAAGAGUGGUGGAGAGCGAAAAGAUUAAUUUUAACCUCAUCACUGGUUGAAAACUGGUCUGAGUUAUCAGCAAGAAAAAGUGACCAUAUUGGGUGUAGUCAGUUUGGCCACACUGAGAACAGGUGUUUGUGCCAAAAAAAGCACUAGAACAAGUGGUUCCCCGCGGCAGUGUCAGGAAGCUGGCACAGAGUGAUGCUCCUGCCAGCAUCCCCAGGGAAGCCCAGGCACCCAGAGGUCCCAGCAGCCAGCAGGUUCCAGAUUAUCUGCUUCUUACAGGUACAUCACAAUACAUCACUAGAAGCUUACUAAUGCAAAUAGUAUGAACACAUUUUUGUGUUUCACUUUGGUGAACUUGUUAUCCAAAAUCAUUUAACAAAACUGCAGUGUAAACAUAUGAAAUAUUACUUCAUGUGAAUUAGUUUGCAAGUACUGCUUUGAAUACAGAAAGAUUGAGGAAGAUAUGAACCCUUGUUUCUGGCAUCUAUAUGUGCAUAUAUUAACUAGAAUGUGGCACAUUACAAUUUUUACCGUGGUCAGGGCAAAAUGAAUUGUUCUAUAAAGUUUAUUAUUUGAAUACUUGCCUAGUUCUAAUGUUACAUAGAUUUGAGGGAACUCCAGGUAUAUGCUUCACAUAAUCCUACUUGCAUACUUCAUAAUAUUAAGGCCAAAAAGACAAUGAAAUAAUUUUAGCCUGACUCCUUGUGUAACAGAGGACACCAGACCUACUGUAUUGGUAUGUUUCAUAUAUUCUCUUUACAUAAGGAAAUAGAUAAGAAUACCAUAAGUAAGCCAUGCAACUUGGACACUUGCAAAAUAUUAGGACAUGUACAAUAAGAUUAUAGAUGGGAAGUAAAUCACUGUAGUCCAGUACUUAGAACAUUUACAUGUAGCCUGUGACUGGGAUAAAUUUUGUCUUAGUCAUAUCAUUGUAUUGUUAUGCAUUACAGCAUCUUUGUAUGCCAUCCAAAACAUCUUGUACUUGCCCUGUCAAAGACAAAAGCUGUGAUUAAAUGGACUGCUGGCACUUUCUCUAUUCUGAACCUUCCUCUUUUCCUUUGAUUUUCUUUUCUGCCCAGCUUCCAGUUCUGAAAGCAAUGUACACAGUCAACUAUAAUGAAAAUGUAGUUAAAAUAGAGGUCAGUGUGACCAAUCCCUUAGACAACUGUUGAUCUUCACAUCUGUCUCCUUCCUAAAAGUGUACUGGCCUGACUUUUUCCUGAAGUUAUACACCUUAUCUUUACAGUGCAGCAGCUAGCAAACUAAUAAGUGCUAAAAUAA
Molecule: long non-coding RNA, 2814 nt
Organism: Harpia harpyja (harpy eagle)
Lineage: Eukaryota; Metazoa; Chordata; Aves; Accipitriformes; Accipitridae
Exons: 3
Source: RefSeq, a predicted model, not a curated record